RNAcentral lists this ribosomal RNA (253 nucleotides) under uncultured bacterium. RNAcentral's name for it is "partial 16S ribosomal RNA". It matches the Rfam family "Bacterial small subunit ribosomal RNA", at positions 524 to 776 of the family's 1533-position model. The record is from RNAcentral.
UACAGAGGGGGCAAGCGUUGUUCGGAAUUACUGGGCGUAAAGGGCGCGUAGGCGGCCCGCUAAGUCGAACGUGAAAUCCCCGGGCUCAACCCGGGAACUGCGUCCGAUACUGGUGGGCUCGAAUCCGGGAGAGGGAUGCGGAAUUCCAGGUGUAGCGGUGAAAUGCGUAGAUAUCUGGAGGAAUACCGGUGGCGAAGGCGGCAUCCUGGACCGGCAUUGACGCUGAGGAGCGAAAGCUAGGGGAGCAAACGGG